This 158-nucleotide ribosomal RNA is filed under the name Diploastrea heliopora. Its description in RNAcentral is "5.8S ribosomal RNA". It matches the Rfam family "5.8S ribosomal RNA". From Rfam's summary of the family: 5.8S ribosomal RNA (5.8S rRNA) is a component of the large subunit of the eukaryotic ribosome. It is transcribed by RNA polymerase I as part of the 45S precursor that also contains 18S and 28S rRNA. Functionally, it is thought that 5.8S rRNA may be involved in ribosome translocation. The record is from RNAcentral. Lineage: Eukaryota; Metazoa; Cnidaria; Anthozoa; Scleractinia; Diploastraeidae.
CAACUUUUGACGGUGGAUCUCUUGGCUCACGCAUCGAUGAAGAACGCAGCCAGCUGCGAUAAGUAGUGUGAAUUGCAGAAUUCAGUGAAUCAUCGAAUCUUUGAACGCAAAUGGCGCUCUUGGGUUCUCCCAGGAGCAUGUCUGUUUGAGUGUCGGAU